This 339-nucleotide long non-coding RNA is filed under the name Vigna radiata. Its description in RNAcentral is "long non-coding RNA (VRAD_LNC014015)". The record is from RNAcentral. Lineage: Eukaryota; Viridiplantae; Streptophyta; Magnoliopsida; Fabales; Fabaceae.
GGGGAAAUUGAAAAGCAAAUGAAAAGCAUUGAGCUCAAAUGUGUGAAAAGAAAAAUUCAUGAGAAAAAGAAAAGAAAAGAAGAAAAGCAUGAAGAUGAGCUCAAUGAAAAAGAAAAGGGGAAAAAGUUGGGAUUGAGAGAGAUUGGUGAGGAAGAGAGUUGUGCUUAAAUGUUGAAUAUUUUGAUAGCUCUCUUGACUCAAGGAUUUUUCAUUCCAGAAAAACCAAUUCUUCUUGUUAACCCAACCUCAUUACAAGCCUUGAAAAGUCCUUUUGAUGGCAUUUGCAUGUAAGGAUUUUGAUUGUUUGAGAUGAAUGGCAAUUUUGUUUCAUGUGACUUG